CCUACGGGUGGCUGCAGUGGGGAAUAUUGGACAAUGGGGGGAACCCUGAUCCAGCCAUGCCGCGUGUGUGAAGAAGGCCCUCGGGUUGUAAAGCACUUUCAGUGAGGAAGAACGCCUGGUGGUUAAUACCCAUCAGGAAAGACAUCACUCACAGAAGAAGCACCGGCUAACUCCGUGCCAGCAGCCGCGGUAAUACGGAGGGUGCGAGCGUUAAUCGGAAUUACUGGGCGUAAAGCGCGCGUAGGUGGCUUGAUAAGCCGGUUGUGAAAGCCCCGGGCUCAACCUGGGAACGGCAUCCGGAACUGUCAAGCUAGGGUGCAGGAGAGGAAGGGAGAAUUCCCGGUGUAGCGGUGAAAUGCGUAGAGAUCGGAAGGAAUACCAGUGGCGAAGGCGGCCUUCUGGACUGACACUGACACUGAGGUGCGAAAGCGUGGGUAGCAAACAGGAUUAGAUACCUGGUAGUC
RNAcentral lists this ribosomal RNA (464 nucleotides) under Vreelandella stevensii. RNAcentral's name for it is "partial 16S ribosomal RNA". It matches the Rfam family "Bacterial small subunit ribosomal RNA", at positions 338 to 795 of the family's 1533-position model. Lineage: Bacteria; Pseudomonadati; Pseudomonadota; Gammaproteobacteria; Oceanospirillales; Halomonadaceae. The record is from RNAcentral.